Molecule: transfer RNA, 96 nt
Filed under: archaeon
Lineage: Archaea
Description: tRNA-Val
Rfam family: tRNA
About the family: Transfer RNA (tRNA) molecules are approximately 80 nucleotides in length. Their secondary structure includes four short double-helical elements and three loops (D, anti-codon, and T loops).
Source: RNAcentral
GGGCCCGUGGUGUAGGUGGUAGCAUGUCGCCCUUACGAGGCGGUGGACGGACGUUGUCCGGCCGACUCCCGGGUUCAAGUCCCGGCGGGCCCACCA